UACAGAGGGUGCGAGCGUUAAUCGGAAUUACUGGGCGUAAAGCGCGCGCAGGCGGUUCUCCAAGUCAGUGGUGAAAGCCCGGAGCUCAACUCCGGAAUUGCCAUUGAAACUGUUGAACUUGAGGACGAGAGAGGUGAGUGGAAUUCCCAGUGUAGAGGUGAAAUUCGUAGAUAUUGGGAAGAACACCGGUGGCGAAGGCGGCUCACUGGCUCGUUUCUGACGCUCAGGCGCGACAGCGUGGGGAUCAAACAGG
This 253-nucleotide ribosomal RNA is filed under the name uncultured bacterium. RNAcentral describes it as "partial 16S ribosomal RNA". It matches the Rfam family "Bacterial small subunit ribosomal RNA", at positions 524 to 776 of the family's 1533-position model. The record is from RNAcentral.